GACGAACGCUGGCGGCGUGCUUAACACAUGCAAGUCGAACGGAAAGGCCCUGCUUUUGUGGGGUGCUCGAGUGGCGAACGGGUGAGUAACACGUGAGUAACCUUCCCUUUACUUUGGGAUAACUUCAGGAAACUGGGGCUAAUACCGGAUAGGAGCUCCUGCUGCAUGGUGGGGGUUGGAAAGUUUCGGCUGUUGGGGAUGGACUCGCGGCUUAUCAGCUUGUUGGUGGGGUAGUGGCUUACCAAGUCUUUGACGGGUAGCCGGCCUGAGAGGGUGACCGGCCACAUUGGGACUGAGAUACGGCCCAGACUCCUACGGGAGGCAGCAGUGGGGAAUAUUGCACAAUGGGCGGAAGCCUGAUGCAGCAACGCCGCGUGCGGGAUGACGGCCUUCGGGUUGUAAACCGAUUUCGCCUGUGACGAAGCGUGAGUGACGGUAAUGGGUAAAGAAGCACCGGCUAACUACGUG
Molecule: ribosomal RNA, 468 nt
Filed under: uncultured bacterium
Lineage: Bacteria
Description: partial 16S ribosomal RNA
Rfam family: Bacterial small subunit ribosomal RNA
Source: RNAcentral